RNAcentral lists this ribosomal RNA (531 nucleotides) under uncultured Pseudomonadota bacterium. Its description in RNAcentral is "bacterial SSU rRNA". It matches the Rfam family "Bacterial small subunit ribosomal RNA", at positions 8 to 522 of the family's 1533-position model. The record is from RNAcentral. Lineage: Bacteria; Pseudomonadati; Pseudomonadota.
AGAGUUUGAUCAUGGCUCAGAGCGAACGUUAGCGGCGGGCCUAACACAUGCAAGUCGAACGGAUCGUAGCAAUACGGUCAGUGGCGCACGGGUGAGUAACGCGUAGAUAAUCUACCUUCCAGCGGGGGAUAACGUUCCGAAAGGAACGCUAAUACCGCAUAAGACCACGGAGUCUUCGGGCUCUGGGGGAAAAGGUGGCCUCUCCUUGGAAGCUAUCACUGGAAGAUGAGUCUGCGUCCCAUCAGCUAGUUGGUGAGGUAAUGGCUCACCAAGGCUAAGACGGGUAGCUGGUCUGAGAGGAUGAUCAGCCACACUGGUACUGGAACACGGACCAGACUCCUACGGGAGGCAGCAGUGGGGAAUAUUGGGCAAUGGGCGGAAGCCUGACCCAGCCACGCCGCGUGAGUGAUGAAGGCCUUCGGGUUGUAAAGCUCUGUGGGAAGGGGCGAAAAACUACGAAGAGAAUAUCUAGCAGGUUGACGGUACCUUCUUAGCAAGCACCCGGCUAACUCUGUGCCAGCAGCCGCGGUA